AGUGAACGCUGGCGGUAGGCCUAACACAUGCAAGUCGAACGGCAGCACAGAGGAGCUUGCUCCUUGGGUGGCGAGUGGCGGACGGGUGAGGAAUACAUCGGAAUCUACUCUGUCGUGGGGGAUAACGUAGGGAAACUUACGCUAAUACCGCAUACGACCUACGGGUGAAAGCAGGGGACCUUCGGGCCUUGCGCGAUUGAAUGAGCCGAUGUCGGAUGUAGCUAGUUGGCGGGGUAAAGGCCCACCAAGGCGACGAUCCGUAGCUGGUCUGAGAGGAUAAUCGGCCACACUGGAACUGAGACACGGUCCAGACUCCUACGGGAGGCAGCAGUGGGGAAUAUUGGACAAUGGGCGCAAGCCUGAUCCAGCCAUACCGCGUGGGUGAAGAAGGCCUUCGGGUUGUAAAGCCCUUUUGUUGGGAAAGAAAUCCAGCUGGCUAAUACCCGGUUGGGAUGACGGUACCCAAAGAAUAAGCACCGGCUAACUUCGUGCCAGCCGCCGCAGUAA
This 507-nucleotide ribosomal RNA is filed under the name uncultured bacterium. Its description in RNAcentral is "partial 16S ribosomal RNA". It matches the Rfam family "Bacterial small subunit ribosomal RNA", at positions 29 to 523 of the family's 1533-position model. The record is from RNAcentral.